This 380-nucleotide long non-coding RNA is filed under the name Solanum tuberosum (potato). RNAcentral's name for it is "long non-coding RNA (STUB_LNC000724)". Lineage: Eukaryota; Viridiplantae; Streptophyta; Magnoliopsida; Solanales; Solanaceae. The record is from RNAcentral.
UCGAUAAUCUGAUUCUUUUAAGAGCCACUAUAUUACUUGCGCAACCGUGUAGACUUGCGUGUGCAAUCGGGAGCAACAAGUUUUUGGCAAGCUUCCUUGUGUGUCUGGUGAAUCAGCUUCAACAACUUCCAUGUGUCCGAGAAACCUAUGUAUUGAUUUAAAAUUUUUGUCGGUAUGUUUAGUGUAUACAGAUUUUUUUGGUGUUAAUCCACCAAUAUUUGAUUGCUGAUCUAGUAAACCUCACUCAGCAACAUUAGGCACACGAAGAGAACUCCAAAUUAAAGUAAAAGAGAACUCACAGAUGACAAAUACAAAACUAUGAGGAAGUGUUUAUCUUCAGAUAGACCAAUUGCCAAAAAGAAAAAGCUCGAGCAGAAGGC